This 279-nucleotide ribosomal RNA is filed under the name Stenotrophomonas maltophilia. Its description in RNAcentral is "partial 23S ribosomal RNA". It matches the Rfam family "Bacterial large subunit ribosomal RNA", at positions 2650 to 2925 of the family's 2925-position model. The record is from RNAcentral. Lineage: Bacteria; Pseudomonadati; Pseudomonadota; Gammaproteobacteria; Lysobacterales; Lysobacteraceae.
GGCGUUGGAGAUUUGAGAGGGGCUGCUCCUAGUACGAGAGGACCGGAGUGGACGAACCUCUGGUGUUCCGGUUGUCACGCCAGUGGCAUUGCCGGGUAGCUAUGUUCGGAAGCGAUAACCGCUGAAAGCAUCUAAGCGGGAAGCGCGCCUCAAGAUGAGAUCUCCCGGGGCACAAGCCCCCUGAAGGAACCAUGUAGACUACGUGGUUGAUAGGUCAGGUGUGUAAGUACAGCAAUGUAUUGAGCUAACUGAUACUAAUGAUCCGUGCGGCUUGACCAU